UAAAACCCGAUGUGCCGAGAGGUGAAAUAUUUAUAGCCUGUAGAUGAGCUCGCGUCUGAUUAGCUAGUUGGUGGGGUAAAGGCCUACCAAGGCGACGAUCAGUAGCUGGUCUGAGAGGACGAUCAGCCACACUGGGACUGAGACACGGCCCAGACUCCUACGGGAGGCAUCAGUGGGGAAUUUUCCGCAAUGGGCGAGAGCCUGACGGAGCAACGCCGCGUGAGGGAGGAAGGCCUGUGGGUUGUAAACCUCUUUUCUCAGGGAAGAAGUUCUGACGGUACCUGAGGAAUCAGCAUCGGCUAACUCCGUGCCAGCAGCCGCGGUAAGACGGAGGAUGCAAGCGUUAUCCGGAAUUAUUGGGCGUAAAGCGUCCGUAGGCGGCCUAUAAAGUCUGCUGUCAAAGCUCACAGCUCAACUGUGAAUCGGCAGUGGAAACUCAUAGGCUAGAGAGUGGUAGGGGUAGAGGGAAUUCCUAGUGUAGCGGUGAAAUGCGUAGAUAUUAGGAAGAACACCAGUGGCGAAGGCGCUCUACUGGGCCAUUACUGACGCUGAUGGACGAAAGCUAGGGGAGCGAAAGGGAUUAGAUACCCCUGUAGUCCUAGCUGUAAACGAUGGACACUAGGUGUUGGCCGUAUCGACCCGGUCAGUAUCGAAGCAAACGCGUUAAGUGUCCCGCCUGGGGAGUACGCACGCAAGUGUGAAACUCAAAGGAAUUGACGGGGGCCCGCACAAGCGGUGGAGUAUGUGGUUUAAUUCGAUGCAACGCGAAGAACCUUACCAGGGAUUGACAUCCUACGAAUCUUCUUGAAAGGGAAGAGUGCCUUCGGGAGCGUAGAGACAGGUGGUGCAUGGCUGUCGUCAGCUCGUGUCGUGAGAUGUUGGGUUAAGUCCCGCAACGAGCGCAACCCUCGUCCUUAGUUGCCAUCAUUAAGUUGGGCACUUUAAGGAGACUGCCGGUGACAAACCGGAGGAAGGUGGGGAUGACGUCAAGUCAUCAUGCCCCUUACAUCCUGGGCUACACACGUACUACAAUGCAACGGACAAAGGGCAGCCAACUAGCGAUAGUGCGCUAAUCCCAUAAACCGUUGCUCAGUUCAGAUUGCAGGCUGCAACUCGCCUGCAUGAAGGCGGAAUCGCUAGUAAUCGCAGGUCAGCAUACUGCGGUGAAUACGUUCCCGGGCCUUGUACACACCGCUCGUCACACCAUGGAAGUUGGCCACGCCCGAAGUCGUUACCCCAACCUUAGGGAGGGGGACGCCGAAGGCAGGGCUGAUGACUGGGGUGAAGUCGUAACAAGGUAGCCGUACCGGAAGGUGUGGCUGGAUCACCUCCUUAGAAGGAGACCUACUAAGUUAAUACCUGAAAGCGAAUUGCGAAUAGGGUUUAGCUGUAGUCACCUAAGGUCGUUGAGGGUUUUGUUAGUUCUGCUGGUUAAGUCCAGGCCUCUUCCAAAUUAUUCAGGUGUUAUGACCUGGGGUAGAAUACCAAGUCGAUACACCAAGACAAACGGGCUAUUAGCUCAGGUGGUUAGAGCGCACCCCUGAUAAGGGUGAGGUCCCUGGUUCGAGUCCAGGAUGGCCCACUUUCAGACAGUGUGAAGUCAGGAGUUAUGAAGGAUGAAAAGGGUUACGGCUCACUUCAUCGUUGAUUGUUCCCACUUCCUCGUUUAGUUAGGGGGGUAUAGCUCAGCUGGUAGAGCGCCUGCUUUGCAAGCAGGAUGUCAGCGGUUCGAGUCCGCUUACCUCCACCACAUUUUACGAAGAAAGCAAUCUACGAUAAAAAUCAGCAACUAGGGAUGUAAACAUCUACGGAAGUAGAGUAUUGAACAUCAUAGAUUGCUGGUCUUUCGAGACUAGCGAGAACCUUGACAACUGCAUAGAAAACUAUAAGAAAGCAAAGGUAGUUCAAAGUCUGUUGCAGACA
This 1923-nucleotide unclassified non-coding RNA is filed under the name Phormidesmis sp. SLM0209. Its description in RNAcentral is "bacterial SSU rRNA". The stretch from base 1 to 1335 matches the Rfam family "Bacterial small subunit ribosomal RNA", at positions 164 to 1533 of the family's 1533-position model. Lineage: Bacteria; Bacillati; Cyanobacteriota; Cyanophyceae; Leptolyngbyales; Leptolyngbyaceae. The record is from RNAcentral.